AUGCCAAACGGUUGUUGUCAACGAUUCCCCUCAAAGGGGUGUUUUGAUCGUAAACUUAGGGGGUUCGAGGAGGACACGAUGACAAAGUUCAUCGUUUGGACGAAAGACAAAGCUUUUGGUGUGGACGACCCCAAACCCUUAUCUAAAAAAAUUAAGUGGAAACUCCAGUAUGUUCCUUUUGACGGGAUUCCCUUCAUGGUGGUUGGGAGGAGGGUCUACUCCUGUCACCAAGGGGUAGACAAGCACAAACAUGAAAAACUGACAAGACAGCUACAACUGCUUGAUGACCACUCAGACCAUUGUUAUGAAGAGAGGCGACGUCUUCAAGACUCGAAGAAAUUGGACUGUCCAGCCAGAAUAUAUGUGGUUCAUCUAAUCAGAUUCCCUGAUUACAAGAUACCUGAUGACAUUCAUAAACAGAGGAAGGAGAGCGCUGGGUGUCUGAGACAUGCCUUAACAAAAAACCCAUCAGCAGUGAAGCUUGAGGAGCAAUAUGUUGCCUGCUUCCCAGCGAUCGAGGAGCACCAAAACCAUCCUGUGGUAGGAGAGGUUCGUGAGCCAGUGGACACUAGCAGCACCCCUCCCAGUGACCACAUCAUUCUUCACAAAGACACCAGCAAUCCUCCCAGAAACUCCAGCAAGACAAAGAAAAGGCAAAGGUGUGAGAGCUUACUGCGUGAAAUUUCAGAUCUCACUUACCAUCUACAGGAUGAGCCAUUUCUGGACUCCUUGACCUUUCGACUGAAUGACCUUUUGGAGGAUGUGAGGCGUCAUACCCCUCACGAUGACACCCUUCCCUUGUCUUACACACCUCCAUCUAAAAAAAACAGAUACCUCAAAACCCUCAGCAUAAUCCCCGAAAAACAUCCAUCCUCUGGAAAGUUUGGCCAUUGUGCUGAAGCAGUGAAAGCAAGCUCCAAGCCUUAA
Long non-coding RNA from Cyprinus carpio (common carp), 927 nucleotides. The record is from Ensembl. NCBI's taxonomy places the organism in Eukaryota, Metazoa, Chordata, Actinopteri, Cypriniformes, Cyprinidae.